UGUGUUUGUGCAUUGAAGAGCUUUUGGGUAGAGAGGGACCUGCUGACACACAUACAUGCGUACCCGGGGAGACAAACAAUGAAUAAUAGAUGACAAAAUUGGCACCGAGAUAUAUGGGUGACAUGUUCUAGCUUAUAAUAUUGUUACA
Molecule: non-coding RNA, 148 nt
Organism: Caenorhabditis elegans
Lineage: Eukaryota; Metazoa; Nematoda; Chromadorea; Rhabditida; Rhabditidae
Source: Ensembl